This 402-nucleotide ribosomal RNA is filed under the name uncultured bacterium. RNAcentral's name for it is "bacterial SSU rRNA". It matches the Rfam family "Bacterial small subunit ribosomal RNA", at positions 355 to 774 of the family's 1533-position model. The record is from RNAcentral.
UGGGGAAUCUUGCACAAUGGAGGAAACUCUGAUGCAGCGACGCCGCGUGAGCGAAGAAGCCUUUCGGGGUGUAAAGCUCUUACGCCAGGGACGAUAAUGACGGUACCUGGAGAAGCAGCUGCGGCUAACUACGUGCCAGCAGCCGCGGUAAUACGUAGGCAGCAAGCGUUGUUCGGAGUUACUGGGCGUAAAGAGUGCGUAGGCGGUUUUCUAAGUUCGGUGUGAAAUCUCCCGGCUUAACUGGGAGGGUGCGCCGAAGACUGGGAAGCUGGAGUGUGGGAAAGGCAGGCGGAAUUCCUGGUGUAGCGGUGAAAUGCGUAGAUAUCAGGAGGAACACCGGCGGUGUAGACGGCUUGCUAGACCAUAACUGACGCUGAGGCACGAAAGCGUGGGUAGCAAACA